GAAAAUUCCUUCCUCCUCCCAACCUCCCAAAAAAGUGUGACUGGAGGGAGGGAAUUCCUGCUGCAAGCUACUGAGUUCAGCAGGGUGGAGCUAUAAAGGGCAGGACUCCUCUGUGUUUUUGGCCUCCUUGGGCAGCUGAGAGUGGACGACAACCAACCAAUCAUCCCACGAAGUCCCAGCAGCACCACAGCGGACCACUGAACCUCAACUCUCAGCACCCUAACAUACAUCCACCUACAGACUCUGCCAGCAUCCUACACCCGCCGCCACCACCAGUAUAUUCUGAGAGACAGCUUCAACGCACCCAAAAACCUGAUCCAGAUCUUGCCCGCAUGCAGCCUUUUCCAGCAACCUGCAGUCUUCAUCGACACCUUCAGUCAACAGAAAGGUGCAGCUUGAACCUCCACCUGCAGCCUCUCCCAGCAUCCUGCAGCCCCCACCUGUCACCCAGAGAGCACCUUAGCACACCAUGAAGAUGCAGAGAGAUUUUGAGUUGUUUCAUUGUGAAUGGAAGUGAGGAGAUUAUCUGUAUACUGAUAAUGCCAAGGAGGAACUAUCCUAAUGCCAUGUAGAGACCUAAGUGGAAGAGCAGAGGCCAGGGACACACUCACUAUGGUAUUAUGUUGUGUGAAGGAAGAACACACAACCAUCAACAUGAAACUCUAUUAUCUGGCAAACUGGACCGUGAUGCUGAACUUCAUCUACCAGAAAGAGCUCUUCACUGCUAUCAGUGUGAUGCACAACAGCCCUGGUGGACUUCACAGACGUCCAGAUCUGACAGGAGCUGAUCAACAGCCGUGCAGAUGAUUCCUUCUACGAGAGGUGUGAGCAUCAGAGAUGCUUAUUCCUCCUCCUCAUCCUCCAUGUUCACCUCCAACUGCUGCUCUUCUCAAAGCUCAAUAAACUCCAUCAAUCUCUCCA
Molecule: long non-coding RNA, 921 nt
Organism: Sebastes umbrosus (honeycomb rockfish)
Lineage: Eukaryota; Metazoa; Chordata; Actinopteri; Perciformes; Sebastidae
Exons: 6
Source: RefSeq, a predicted model, not a curated record